This 983-nucleotide long non-coding RNA is filed under the name Cyanistes caeruleus (blue tit). RNAcentral describes it as "lncRNA (ENSCCEG00000019023.1)". Lineage: Eukaryota; Metazoa; Chordata; Aves; Passeriformes; Paridae. The record is from RNAcentral.
UUCACUCAGAUGCAUUCUUUCAUCUGAAAAUGCCAAAGUACUUCUAAUAAAUCUCAGUCUGGGAGACUGAAACAGACGUAUUGCAGAAAGAAAGAAUUAAGGUGACAUAAGAUAAAGGUUGGAAGCCUGAACCUGGUUUGAUGAAACAAGGGUAAUUGAUGGUUCAGAGUGGUCAAGCUGAUCAAGCCAAAGUGGCUGAGGGACAUAUUUUAAAUACAGGUUUUAUUAAAUUAAUUGGAUAGAGGACUUUGAAAUUUAGGGAAACCAGAGAUGGAGAUCUUGCAGCAAUGAAAGAAGGGAGAUGUGACAAAGUAUGACAGAUGUGAGCACAGAUGUUUCAGCAGAAAAAUAACAGAUUAAUAACAGCCUGGAGAAACAACAUGGAUGUGUAAGGGAAGGAAGAGGAAAAGAUAAUUCCUAGCUCAUAACCAUAGAAAUAAAAAUAAGCUGAAAGAACAGAAUACAGUAACCUGAAUACUUGACUUUUCACAGUUAAUUUGCUGUUGCUUGUGCACUUAAGGAAGGACUGUGAAGACUCUAAUAAUUUUCCCACCCACUUUCAACUCCAAGAAAAAAGAUUAAAGCUGAAGAAAGAAAGACGUGGUUUAUUCUGGAAGAAAGGAAUUACAAAUGUCAGAAUAAUGAUGAGACAACAUCAACAAAGACCUGGAAGCAGCAGCUAACAGGUAUGCUCAGCUUGCAGGGAGCUGUGAUACAAAAUUCUCAAUGAAUUUGAAUGAAACAGUAAGUUUCAUUCUCCCUUAUCCCACAGCCUGGGAAGAUGUUUUCAUCAUAAUUUGUGCAGCGUAGCAUAACGAAGAUAUAUAUUUGAUAUAACUCUUUGUUUAUUUCUGUGGAAAGCAAUUUUUACUGAGAUGAAUUUCUCUGGAUUCUGCACCUGGGAUGGUGCAAUCCUUAUGAAGUGAGGGACAGGAGGCUGCAAUGCAGCCCUGAAGAAAGGGAAGUGCCAAGUUUGGUUGAUG